CGAUGAACUCCAGCUUGCUGGGGGGAUUAGUGGCGAACGGGUGAGUAACACGUGAGUAACCUGCCCUGGACUCUGGGAUAACCCCGAGAAAUCGGAGCUAAUACCGGAUAGGACCUUGGACCGCAUGGUUUGGGGUGGAAAGUUUUUCGGUUUGGGAUGGACUCGCGGCCUAUCAGCUUGUUGGUGAGGUAAUGGCUCACCAAGGCGUCGACGGGUAGCCGGCCUGAGAGGGUGACCGGCCACACUGGGACUGAGACACGGCCCAGACUCCUACGGGAGGCAGCAGUGGGGAAUAUUGCACAAUGGGCGCAAGCCUGAUGCAGCAACGCCGCGUGCGGGAUGACGGCCUUCGGGUUGUAAACCGCUUUUAGUAAGGAAGAAGGGGAGCUUGCUCCUUGACGGUACUUGCAGAAAAAGGACCGGCUAACUACGUGCCAGCAGCCGCGGUAAUACGUAGGGUCCGAGCGUUGUCCGGAAUUAUUGGGCGUAAAGAGCUCGUAGGCGGUUUGUCGCGUCUGCUGUGAAAUCCCGAGGCUCAACCUCGGGCCUGCAGUGGGUACGGGCAGACUGGAGUGCGGUAGGGGAGAAUGGAAUUCCUGGUGUAGCGGUGGAAUGCGCAGAUAUCAGGAGGAACACCGAUGGCGAAGGCAGUUCUCUGGGCCGUAACUGACGCUGAGGAGCGAAAGCGUGGGGAGCGAACAGGAUUAGAUACCCUGGUAGUCCACGCCGUAAACGUUGGGCGCUAGAUGUGGGGACCUUUCCACGGUUUCCGUGUCGUAGCUAACGCAUUAAGCGCCCCGCCUGGGGAGUACGGCCGCAAGGCUAAAACUCAAAGGAAUUGACGGGGGCCCG
Molecule: ribosomal RNA, 852 nt
Filed under: Actinomycetes bacterium
Lineage: Bacteria; Bacillati; Actinomycetota; Actinomycetes
Description: bacterial SSU rRNA
Rfam family: Bacterial small subunit ribosomal RNA
Source: RNAcentral